This 1647-nucleotide long non-coding RNA is filed under the name Arabidopsis thaliana (thale cress). RNAcentral describes it as "ncRNA (AT1G09053)". Lineage: Eukaryota; Viridiplantae; Streptophyta; Magnoliopsida; Brassicales; Brassicaceae. The record is from RNAcentral.
GCUUUGCCUUGACUCAACAUCAUAUGAGCCCACGAGACAAUGUUGAACCCGUUCUCAUGCGAUGAGAAAGAAGGAUCCAGAGCUCGUUUGUCCGAUAUCAGCUCCAAGAGGACUAUCCCAUAGCUGUAAACAUCUGCUUUCUCCGAGACUCGGCAUGUCAUUGCGUACUCUGGAGCUACAUAUCCGAAUGUUCCAGCCACACCAGUUGUGACAUGAGACUGCGAAGUUCCCAAGAGUUUCGAGAGUCCGAAAUCAGAUAGAUAAGCGUUGUAGUUGUUGUCCAAGAGUAUGUUACUCGGUUUGAUAUCUCUAUGCAAGACUUUAGGAGAACACUGUUCGUGAAGAUAGGAGAGAGCACGCGCUACAUCAAGAGCAAUCUUGUGAAGUACCUUCCACUCAAUAGCAGCUUUCGAUCUCUCUUUAAUGAAAUCUUGAAGGUUUCCUCCAGAUAAGUAGUUGUAAAUAAGAAACAUCUCGGUUUCGCUCGCAUGGUAACCGAUUAACAUAACAAGAUUCGGAUGCCUAACCAUCUCAAGAGCAGAGAUCUCAGCAUGAAACUGUUGAUCACCUUGAAACCUCCCAACAGAGAGUCUUUUAACAGCAAACACAUUCGUUGGAGACACCUCUGCUUUAUAAGUCGAACCGAAACCGCCGUGACCGAUACAGUUAGAGUUACUAAAGUAACCAGUAGCUCUAACAAUGAUCUCAUACGUCAGAGGAAUACCAAUGUCAACAAACACUUUAAUCUCCUUGAUCUCAUCUACCUGAACCUGAGAGUUUCGUUUCCAUUUCCUCGUGUAGAUGAACAAGAUCACAAGAACAAGAAGCACAAAGACAAUCACUGAAGCUGACACAAUAGAAGCUAUCUCAAUCGGAUACAAUCCAGAUUUACCAGGAGAAUCAUCAUCAGCUGAGCUUGGACCAAUUUCAUCUUCAUCCUCAAAACUCAUAAGUUUCCUAAGAACAACAUUAUCAACAACCCUAAUUCCACCGAUAAAGUUGUUACCUUUAAGAUCAAGAAUCUCUAAUUUCUCCAACCCCCAAAUCUCCUUUGGAAUCUCACCUCUAAGAUCAUUAAAAGACAGAGAUAAAACCCUAAUUUCAGACAAAUCUCCAACAACAGGAGAGAUUACACCACCAAGUCUUCUUUUACUUGAAGAACAAGAAGACAAAUCUGGGAGAUGAAGAACACCACUACCUUCAAGCUCAUCACAGCCUCUGAGAAUUAAAGAAACGACUCUCGAAUCAGAGUUGCAAGAGACACCGUACCAAGAACAAUGGUUUGAUGAGCUGUCGGAAACCCAGCUAGACAGAACUCCAUUUGGAUCCAAGAAACUACUCUUCAACUUCAACAGAGCAGCUUCGUCGUGGAGACCACCACCACUCUCGGUUAAAAGUUUCCGAGAAAACGAAAACAUAAACAGAUUAAACAGCAAGAAGACCAAACCCAGAAGUUUCAUUUUUCUUCUUUUUCUUCACAAGAGAAAGAGAAAGAGACGACGGCAAAAUGAACAAAGAAAAUCAACAAAACCCUAAAAUAAAUCUCUUUUUUCACAAAUUUUUUUGAUCUCUCCCUCUCUCUCUCUCUUCCUUCGCUCUCGAAAUCGAAAAUUUUCAAGUUGCAAAAGAAGAAAGUUUCUUUACUCA